UUUGCCGACUGCCUUAAUUGUACAACAGCAACCUUUUAUCAACAAGACAACAACCCUAUCAAAAACCUUAUCAAAAGUUCAAACUCUUGAAGAAUAAAAUCAAAGAUCCGUACCUGGUCGGCUAGUCUGCAGGUUGAAUGGAUGAUCGAUCGAAGCCUGUCUGCAGGUUGAAUGGUUGAUCUUCUGUUUCUUGGUCGCUGCAGCAAGGGGAGGGCGGUAGAGAUGAAAGGGCGAUUGGCUUUAUUUGGGUAAUUAGGAUGCUUACUUGCUAGGAAAGCGGGGCAAUAAUAAAGCUUUAGAGCCCAUCUAGCAGUUGUAGGUCGUAGCCUACCUAGGGGUAUCUAGAAGCGAAUAAACUAUAGCCAUGGAGCCAUUGGAGUUGUUCGAUCAAGCAUCUAUGGCAUUAGUUGUCUGUAGAUCUUGUCCGGACGAGUCUUAAUGACUCUGGGCAGUACUUUUAAACAUUUGGUUUGUAAUAAAUUGAAUCUGAGUUGUCGAAACAGUAUUAUUUGUUUAGUUGUAUUCUAUGAUAACUUGUUUAUUUAUUUGGGAUACGGUUUGGGACGUAUC
Molecule: long non-coding RNA, 570 nt
Filed under: Helianthus annuus (common sunflower)
Lineage: Eukaryota; Viridiplantae; Streptophyta; Magnoliopsida; Asterales; Asteraceae
Description: sRNA HanXRQr2_Chr02g0074801
Source: RNAcentral